RNAcentral lists this ribosomal RNA (510 nucleotides) under Colpoda elliotti. RNAcentral's name for it is "SSU rRNA". It matches the Rfam family "Eukaryotic small subunit ribosomal RNA", at positions 427 to 947 of the family's 1831-position model. The record is from RNAcentral. Lineage: Eukaryota; Ciliophora; Colpodea; Colpodida; Colpodidae.
AGCAGGCGCGUAAAUUACCCAAUCCUAAUUCAGGGAGGUAGUGACAAGAAAUAACAACUCGGACCUCGUAUGAGGUUGCGAGAUUGCAAUGAGAACAAUUUAAACCACUUAUCGAGUAACAAUUGGAGGGCAAGUCUGGUGCCAGCAGCCGCGGUAAUUCCAGCUCCAAUAGCGUAUAUUAAAGUUGUUGCAGUUAAAAAGCUCGUAGUUGAAUUUCUGGCCGGCGCUGUUCUCGGCUCUCGCAGUCGGUUCAGGGCUUGGUCAUCCGUAUGGGAAGCUAGCUCGGCCUUCACUGGUCGGUUAGUGGAUCAUACACUUUACUUUGAAAAAAUUAGAGUGUUUCAGGCAGGCAAUUGCUUGGAUACUGCAGCAUGGAAUAAUGGAAUAGGACUUUGACCUAUUUGUUGGUUUCUUCGAGGUCAAAGUAAUGAUUAAUAGGGACAGUUGGGGGCAUUCGUAUUUAAUUGUCAGAGGUGAAAUUCUUGGAUUUAUUAAAGACGAACUUAUGCG